RNAcentral lists this ribosomal RNA (228 nucleotides) under Chaetoceros curvisetus. RNAcentral describes it as "partial Eukaryotic small subunit ribosomal RNA". It matches the Rfam family "Eukaryotic small subunit ribosomal RNA", at positions 1455 to 1685 of the family's 1831-position model. The record is from RNAcentral. Lineage: Eukaryota; Bacillariophyta; Thalassiosirophyceae; Chaetocerotales; Chaetocerotaceae.
AACAGGUCUGUGAUGCCCUUAGAUGUCCUGGGCUGCACGCGCGCUACAAUGAAAGUAUCAACGUGUAUUUCCUAGACCGAGAGGUCCGGGUAAACCGCUGAACCACUUUCAUGCUUGGGAUUGUGAACUGAAACUGUUCACAUGAACUUGGAAUUCCCAGUAAGUGUGAGUCAUUAACUCGCAUUGAUUACGUCCCUGCCCUUUGUACACACCGCCCGUCGCUCCUAC